UUCUAAUUGUUUUUAUACUUAGUUAGCUCUGCCCGGUGAUUAUAAUUUUAACGGCCGCAGUACACUGACUGUGCAAAGGUAGCAUAAUCAUUUGGCUUUUAAAUGAAGUCGGGUAUGAACGAGUUAAUGGGGGUGUACUGUCUCCGAUUUUUUAAAGAUAAUUUACUAAGAGAGUGAAAAUGCUCUCAAUUCCUGCUAAAAGACGAGAAGACCCUAUAAAUUUAUAUUAAAUAGUACUCUUAAUACUUUAUAUUUUUGUUGGGGCAACAAGUUACCAUAAGUACUUUAAAUGUAGCUAGGUAUUAUUGGAUAGGUCGGGUUCUACCAGUGAUAAUAAAAUUACUUUAGGGAUAACAGCAUAAUUUUUAUAUUAAGAUUGUGACCUCGAUGUUGGACUAGGGACUAAUUAAAUCAACCAUUUAAUUAGAAAGUUCUGUUCGAACUUCUUUCACCU
This 454-nucleotide ribosomal RNA is filed under the name Quadriplicata aggesta. Its description in RNAcentral is "partial 16S ribosomal RNA". It matches the Rfam family "Bacterial large subunit ribosomal RNA", at positions 1831 to 2597 of the family's 2925-position model. Lineage: Eukaryota; Metazoa; Mollusca; Gastropoda; Stylommatophora; Clausiliidae. The record is from RNAcentral.